GUACACACCGCCUGUCGCUACUACCGAUUGAAUGUUUUAGUGAGAUCUUCGGCUUGGUUUUCCGAGCGGCUCUCGGGUCGUUCGGUUUAUAUUGAAAAGAUGCUCAAACUGGAUCAUUUAGAGGAAGUAAAAGUCGUAACAAGGUAUUCGUAGGUGAACCUGCAGAAGGAUCA
RNAcentral lists this ribosomal RNA (173 nucleotides) under uncultured eukaryote. RNAcentral describes it as "partial small subunit ribosomal RNA". It matches the Rfam family "Eukaryotic small subunit ribosomal RNA", at positions 1662 to 1828 of the family's 1831-position model. The record is from RNAcentral.